CGCUGCACUACCUAGUGGCGCGGCCGGCUGAGGAGCCGCUAGCAGCUAUGGUGGAACUAAGUGCAGACGGCCAGAUCCAUGCGGCGGAAGGGGAAAUGGAUGCACAAGAAGGGUCGCCGAGAGCGUCGGAGCAGUCAAUUGGAUAGAUCGACCCUAGAGCUCCUGGCCGGAAAAGAAGGUAUGGCAGUUCUACAGAUCCACAAAAUUUGUGGGAACCAAUUAUGAUGAUAUGAUUUGAAAUAGUGUGAUCAUGCAAAAAAAUUGAAAGGAUAAAUUGCUAUGUUUGUAUUGCCUGAACUUCUAGGAAAAGUUACAGGCGUGUCUCCUUGUAAAUAUGGAUGCAGGGUUGACUGAACUGUUAAUGAAAUUUGGUAAAAUUCAGAACUAGUAUAAGUUAAGUAGAGAUGCCUGUAAGCAGACAUUGUAAUGGACAUUGCAUGAUUUGUGGUUUGAAGGAAUGAACGCGUAGCCGCUGAAUUGAUGCGAAAGGACGCUGUAGCAUGUCAAACGCAGAAAAUUGUAGGAAACGGAAGGAUCUGUGUGUCGUUCCGGAGUUGAUUGUGCAGCUGAACCAAAAGUAGAAUUGAUGAAGCGAAACUGUUACGGUUCAAGCAUGGUGACACUGCAAAAACUGAUGUGUUGGGUGCUUGGAAAUUUUUGCGAGCGCUUUGUGUGAAACUAUACAUGAAACUCAUAUUUGUUUGUGGGUGGUUGCAGGGUGAGAGUAGGUGUUGCUGUCCCAGGAAGGACGCCAUGUCCUAACCGGACUACUGCUCUGGAGAAGGCUAUCCAUGGUUUUGCCGACAAUCUUGGGGACAAUGUCAUAGUGCCAACUUUGGGUACAAUCUUUGAUUCUCUAGGUGAAGCAUACAACUUCUACAACCUAUAUUUGUGGAGAAAGGAUUUGGCAUUAGAUACGGCAAAAGUAGGCUAAAUGUUGAGAGGACAAAAUGCAUGCAGGAAAUUCUUUGCGGCUGUGCAGCAUGGGAAUAAGGAUUUGACACUUGUUAGUAUUUCAAAUAAUUUUGUGUAGGAGCUGUAGCUGAAAUGUUCCAUCUUUUUCGUGUUUUUUUGUAGGGAAAGGCGGGGUUUGAGAACACUAUGUCGUGUCGUUGCGAUUGCCUUGCUCUCAUCAGGUUGUUGCUGUCCAAAGACAAUGGUUAGUACAUAGCAAAAGACCGUGAGGAGCACUACGGAAGCUGAUCCAUGGCACAGGAGGUUCGCUUUCAGGUUUGUGUAGAUGGAGAGAAUUAAUUUCGGUUAGGUUGAUACUUCGAGGAGCUAUUAUUCGUUUUUGGUCAAAAGGGUCGAAUUGCUGAGACGACAUGGGUGGAGAGGGGCGACUCCAUUGGCGGUGAUGGAGUUGCUGAUGCGACCCAUGAACAGGUAACAUCAGUAUCGUUUUUGGAAGUAGGGUGUUUUAAUUCGCGAUUUGUUGAUUGCUUGCUUUUUUCUUGCAAUGGAGGGUCGCAGAUUCCCCUUUCUGGAGGAAUUGCAUGAGAGCGCAACCCCGAUGGAACCGGCAGCGUUCACGGUGGUUCGUUUGGUACCGGCUGCCGAGUAAUCGACGGGACUAGCCAUGAGCGCGGACAAGCAGGUUGUGAGGAAGACAUGGCAAAAGGUGUGAGAUGAAAGGCGUCGCCGCAGGUGUCCGAGAUGUCCACCGGGAAGAUGAAGUUCCUACAGUCCUACAGGCACCUGGUUGGGCUAAGAGGUGUCUUUCCCUAAAUCAAUCAAAUCGGUAUGCAUUGAAUUUUUGUUGUUGAGCGAUUAGGAGUGAUGCUGUCAUAUGUGUAUUGACGUCCCCUUGGGGUUCAGAACAUUCAGACAAGUAGUUGAUGCUGUUCUUAAGUAGUGUACGGUUAUGAAUGGAUGAUGAUCUAUCCAUCUUGGAGCAUGUUGUUACUAAUUCAAGGUUGUUGUACAAUUGGUUAUGAGUUACGAUUUAUGGGGAGUGCUUUGUAGUUAGUUCAUGUAUGAGUCUUGUUGGAUGCUUGCUUCUGAAUUUAGCUGUGCAAUGGAAUCGAGAUCAUGAUGCUCAAUGUAUGGAUUAUGGAUGUUCAAUUCAGUUUAUAAUGCUAGUUGUUUUUCAU
Molecule: long non-coding RNA, 2093 nt
Filed under: Triticum aestivum (bread wheat)
Lineage: Eukaryota; Viridiplantae; Streptophyta; Magnoliopsida; Poales; Poaceae
Description: long non-coding RNA (TAES_LNC013604)
Source: RNAcentral